RNAcentral lists this ribosomal RNA (253 nucleotides) under uncultured bacterium. RNAcentral's name for it is "partial 16S ribosomal RNA". It matches the Rfam family "Bacterial small subunit ribosomal RNA", at positions 524 to 776 of the family's 1533-position model. The record is from RNAcentral.
UACGUAGGGUGCGAGCGUUGUCCGGAAUUAUUGGGCGUAAAGGGCUCGUAGGCGGCCAACUAAGUCAGACGUGAAAUCCCUCGGCUUAACCGGGGAACUGCGUCCGAUACUGGCAGGCUUGAAUCCGGGAGAGGGAUGCGGAAUUCCAGGUGUAGCGGUGAAAUGCGUAGAUAUCUGGAGAAACACCGGUGGCGAAGGCGGCAUCCUGGACCGGCAUUGACGCUGAGGCGCGAAAGCCAGGGGAGCAAACGGG